AGGUUAGCUCCCAUGAUCAAUGCUCAGCCGCUCACCUGUCCUUCAGGUGAUGUCCCGGGGUUGAAGCUGCAGUCCAGCUGUGAGCUUGAUUCGUUCAGCUGGGUUCCCUUCGGACGCUCUGUGCAGCGCUGCUCCUCCGCGAACCACGUCAGGGUCACUACUUGAAGGGAUGAAAGACACGGACACCUGAUGGCUCUUGAACAGGAGACAUUUAUUGCAAUUUUUCACUACUACAUAUACCUUCCCUGUAGCCCCAUGCGCUGUCCACGUGCCUGAAUCUGUCAUACAAUUGGUCAGAGACCCUCAGACAUGUGCCUCGAGCCAGCCAGCAAUUGGCCACUGUCCAAAGCUCAUCUUUAACACUGUAGCCAAGUUACUUUAUCUCAACCUUGCUCAAGUUUUUGUUUCUACUACUUGUUUCCUCAUUAUCUCUAAUUCAGGGACGUGUGAAACAUCACAGAGAAAAUU
Molecule: long non-coding RNA, 468 nt
Organism: Oxyura jamaicensis (ruddy duck)
Lineage: Eukaryota; Metazoa; Chordata; Aves; Anseriformes; Anatidae
Exons: 3
Source: RefSeq, a predicted model, not a curated record